This 317-nucleotide ribosomal RNA is filed under the name uncultured bacterium. Its description in RNAcentral is "bacterial SSU rRNA". It matches the Rfam family "Bacterial small subunit ribosomal RNA", at positions 28 to 334 of the family's 1533-position model. The record is from RNAcentral.
GAUGAACGCCUGGGCGGCGUGCAUAACACAUUCAAGUCGAACGGACUGAGUUCGGAAGCUUGCUUCCGAUGAAAGUUAGUGGCGGACGGGUGAGUAACGCGUGAGCAACCUGCCCCUUUGUGUGGAAUAACGUUUGGAAACGAACGCUAAUACCGCAUAACGCAUGGGAAUCGCAUGUUUCCUAUGCCAAAGAUUUAUUGCAGAGGGAUGGGCUCGCGUCUGAUUAGAUAGUUGGUGAGGUAACGGCUCACCAAGUCGACGAUCAGUAGCCGGACUGAGAGGUUGAACGGCCACAUUGGAACUGAGAAACGGUCCAG